GACGAACGCUGGCGGCGUGCUUAACACAUGCAAGUCGAACGAUGAAGCCUAGCUUGCUAGGUGGAUUAGUGGCGAACGGGUGAGUAAUACGUGAGUAACCUACCUUUAACUCUGGGAUAAGCCUGGGAAACUGGGUCUAAUACCGGAUACGACCAAUCUCCGCAUGGGGUGUUGGUGGAAAGCGUUAUGUAGUGGUUAUAGAUGGGCUCACGGCCUAUCAGCUUGUUGGUGAGGUAACGGCUCACCAAGGCGACGACGGGUAGCCGGCCUGAGAGGGUGACCGGCCACACUGGGACUGAGACACGGCCCAGACUCCUACGGGAGGCAGCAGUGGGGAAUAUUGCACAAUGGGCGCAAGCCUGAUGCAGCGACGCCGCGUGAGGGAUGACGGCCUUCGGGUUGUAAACCUCUGUUAGCAGGGAAGAAGAGAAAUUGACGGUACCUGCAGAGAAAGCGCCGGCUAACUACGUGCCAGCAGCCGCGGUAAUACGUAGGGCGCGAGCGUUGUCCGGAAUUAUUGGGCGUAAAGAGCUUGUAGGCGGUUUGUCGCGUCUGCUGUGAAGGCCGGGGCUUAACCCCGUGUAUUGCAGUGGGUACGGGCAGACUAGAGUGCAGUAGGGGAGACUGGAACUCCUGGUGUAGCGGUGGAAUGCGCAGAUAUCAGGAAGAACACCGAUGGCGAAGGCAGGUCUCUGGGCUGUAACUGACGCUGAGAAGCGAAAGCAUGGGGAGCGAACAGGAUUAGAUACCCUGGUAGUCCAUGCCGUAAACGUUGGGCACUAGGUGUGGGGGACAUUCCACGUUUUCCGCGCCGUAGCUAACGCAUUAAGUGCCCCGCCUGGGGAGUACGGCCGCAAGGCUAAAACUCAAAGAAAUUGACGGGGGCCCGCACAAGCGGCGGAGCAUGCGGAUUAAUUCGAUGCAACGCGAAGAACCUUACCAAGGCUUGACAUAUACUGGACCGCAUCAGAGAUGGUGUUUCCCUUCGGGGCUGGUAUACAGGUGGUGCAUGGUUGUCGUCAGCUCGUGUCGUGAGAUGUUGGGUUAAGUCCCGCAACGAGCGCAACCCUCGUUCUAUGUUGCCAGCACGUUAUGGUGGGGACUCAUAGGAGACUGCCGGGGUCAACUCGGAGGAAGGUGGGGAUGACGUCAAAUCAUCAUGCCCCUUAUGUCUUGGGCUUCACGCAUGCUACAAUGGUCGGUACAGAGGGUUGCGAUACUGUGAGGUGGAGCUAAUCCCUAAAAGCCGGUCUCAGUUCGGAUUGGGGUCUGCAACUCGACCCCAUGAAGUCGGAGUCGCUAGUAAUCGCAGAUCAGCAACGCUGCGGUGAAUACGUUCCCGGGCCU
Molecule: ribosomal RNA, 1347 nt
Filed under: uncultured bacterium
Lineage: Bacteria
Description: bacterial SSU rRNA
Rfam family: Bacterial small subunit ribosomal RNA
Source: RNAcentral